GCCUUGAUCGGCCAGCUGUGAAGCUUUAAAAGGUCUCCCACGUUUCCCAGAUAAAACUUCGCAAAACCAGCCUUUGACUUGUCGCUUGAGGUCGACGGCACCCCACCGAGCUCAGCAGGAGAAGGCCUCGGUGGGAUCGCCGGAGGAGACUUCAGGUCCUGCGAUGGAUCGAAACCUGCUGGUGGUGCUUGAGUUGAGGUCGCGGCGGGUUGGUUGGAAGGCUCUGGAUCCUUUUGGCUUUCCGGGAACAAUUUGAUGGAGAGCGAGGAGGUCCUUGUGGAGGGUUGAGGAGGGGCGGUCAGGAGGUGCGCGGGAGGAGGGGGGGAGGGGCUUGCCGCGGUCUCAACGUUAAGGUGUUCAGGCGGAUCUGGGAUGGUGACGGGGGUCAGUGUCAGACAGGAUACCUUGCGUUCCUGGACUCGCGUGUUAGCCGACGCGUCAUUCGGGACACCGGACGCGAGUCGGAGAGAGUUAGCGCUGCUUUCCGUGUGUGAGGAAACGCUAGUAAAAGUGUAGGACUCUUUUAAAGUCGCUUGCUCUUUGUGGGAGAACAUUAUUUGGCUUCCGGGACUCGGGUUGUCAGCUAAAAGAGUGAGUGAGUUGGAGGCGGAAGGGUUAGCGAUGGUUGGCGUGAAAUGCAAGCUAUCUUUUCGUGAAGGGGGCGAGGGUAUGUGAUUGUCAUCCUUGCGGACCAAAAUCCAAGUUAAAAAAAAUAAAAAACACAUCCGUUUCGAUUAUUGUCACAUGACAAACCAGAAAUCAAAAACUUAAGUGUUCAAGACUGGUAGAGAUUUUUUACCUGGGAUUUUCGGUCCUGCAAGUUGGGCCUGACGCUGCGGAAGCCUUUGGCGGCCAGAGACGAGCUGAUGGAGUCGCCGUUCUUAAGGCCAUCGGUUGCGCUGUGAGACCGCCAAGAACCUGAAGGUCGAGGAGGCUGAAUUAGCAUCGGUAGCCAAACAGAAUAAAACGCAAGAAGACUUACUGUAGUCUGUUGAGUGAGGAUCACCCCCUGGAGAACAGAGACAAAAAAAAAAAGUCAAAGAUUCAAUCCGGAAAAAUUUCAGGACUUGUCCAGUUCUGAGUUACGAGUGGUUAAGAAACAAAUUAAACUUGUAUCCCAAGAA
Long non-coding RNA from Syngnathus typhle (broad-nosed pipefish), 1124 nucleotides. RefSeq lists it as uncharacterized. The record is from RefSeq and is a predicted model, not a curated record. The transcript is spliced from 2 exons. Lineage: Eukaryota; Metazoa; Chordata; Actinopteri; Syngnathiformes; Syngnathidae.